Small nucleolar RNA from Sorex fumeus (smoky shrew), 130 nucleotides. RefSeq annotates it as small nucleolar RNA SNORA72. The record is from RefSeq and is a predicted model, not a curated record. Lineage: Eukaryota; Metazoa; Chordata; Mammalia; Eulipotyphla; Soricidae. The transcript has a single exon.
CUAUGAAUAUUCUUGCUGUUCUUAUUUUGUAAUAAUCAGGACAGACUAAACAUUUGCUAUAAUAAGACUCCACGCAUGUGUCCCCAGACCCAGUUCUUUACUGACAGUUUUAGAAAUGUUGGUGAUGAAU